RNAcentral lists this ribosomal RNA (289 nucleotides) under uncultured beta proteobacterium. RNAcentral's name for it is "partial 16S ribosomal RNA". The record is from RNAcentral. Lineage: Bacteria; Pseudomonadati; Pseudomonadota; Betaproteobacteria.
CUACCGGGGUAUCUAAUCCUGUUUGCUCCCCACGCUUUCGUGCCUGAGCGUCAGUGUCGACCCAGGGGGCUGCCUUCGCCAUCGGUGUUCCUCCGCAUCUCUACGCAUUUCACUGCCACACGCGGAAUUCCACCCCCCUCUGCCGCACUCAAGCCCGCCAGUUUCCAAUGCCAUUCCCAGGUUAAGCCCGGGGCUUUUACAUCGGACACAACGAACCGCCUGCGCACGCUUUACGCCCAGUAAUUCCGAUUAACGCUCGCACCCUACGUAUUACCGCGGCGGCUGGCAC